RNAcentral lists this ribosomal RNA (475 nucleotides) under uncultured bacterium. Its description in RNAcentral is "partial 16S ribosomal RNA". It matches the Rfam family "Bacterial small subunit ribosomal RNA", at positions 28 to 505 of the family's 1533-position model. The record is from RNAcentral.
GAUUAACGCUGGCGGCGUGCAUAACACAUGCAAGUCGAACGAUGAAACUUAACUGAUUUCUUCGGAAUGAUUUUAAGUGGAUUAGUGGCGGACGGGUGAGUAACGCGUGAGUAACCUGCCUUGGAGAAGGGGAUAGCCUUUGGAAACGAAGAAUAAUACCCUAUGAUAUGAUAAUAUCUCAUGAUAUUAUCAUCAAAGAUUUAUCGCUCUAAGAUGGACUUGCGUCUGAUUAGUUAGUUGGUGAGGUAACAGCUCACCAAGGCAGCGAUCAGUAGCCGGCUUGGAAGAGUGUCAGGCCACAAGGGGACUGAGACGCGGCCAAGACUCCACCGGGGGGCAGAGGUGGGUAAUGUUGCACAGCGGGGGAAACCCUGAUGCAGGGACGCCGCGGCAUUUAGAAGGCGUUCGGAUUGUAAAAGUCUUUUGUAUGGGAAGAAAAUCACUAUCCAAAGAAAAAAAGCCGGGGAAAAUUACG